RNAcentral lists this ribosomal RNA (274 nucleotides) under uncultured bacterium. Its description in RNAcentral is "partial 16S ribosomal RNA". It matches the Rfam family "Bacterial small subunit ribosomal RNA", at positions 523 to 796 of the family's 1533-position model. The record is from RNAcentral.
AUACGGAGGAUCCAAGCGUUAUCCGGAAUCAUUGGGUUUAAAGGGUCCGUAGGCGGGUUUGUAAGUCAGUGGUGAAAGUUUUCGGCUCAACCGGAAAAUUGCCAUUGAUACUGCAAGUCUUGAAUCAUUAUGAAGUGGUUAGAAUGUGUAGUAUAGCGGUGAAAUGCAUAGAUAUUACACAGAAUACCGAUUGCGAAGGCAGAUCACUAAUAAUGUAUUGACGCUAAGGGACGAAAGCGUGGGUAGCGAACAGGAUUAGAAACCCUAGUAGUCC